This 731-nucleotide ribosomal RNA is filed under the name uncultured bacterium. RNAcentral describes it as "bacterial SSU rRNA". It matches the Rfam family "Bacterial small subunit ribosomal RNA", at positions 94 to 820 of the family's 1533-position model. The record is from RNAcentral.
AGCGGCGGACGGGUGAGUAAUGCUUAGGAAUCUGCCAUUUAGUGGGGGACAACAUUCCGAAAGGGAUGCUAAUACCGCAUACGUCCUACGGGAGAAAGCAGGGGAUCUUCGGACCUUGCGCUAAAUGAUGAGCCUAAGUCGGAUUAGCUAGUUGGUGGGGUAAAGGCCUACCAAGGCGACGAUCUGUAGCGGGUCUGAGAGGAUGAUCCGCCACACUGGGACUGAGACACGGCCCAGACUCCUACGGGAGGCAGCAGUGGGGAAUAUUGGACAAUGGGCGGAAGCCUGAUCCAGCCAUGCCGCGUGUGUGAAGAAGGCCUUUUGGUUGUAAAGCACUUUAAGCGAGGAGGAGGCUACCUAGAUUAAUACUCUGGGAUAGUGGACGUUACUCGCAGAAUAAGCACCGGCUAACUCUGUGCCAGCAGCCGCGGUAAUACAGAGGGUGCGAGCGUUAAUCGGAUUUACUGGGCGUAAAGCGUGCGUAGGCGGCUGAUUAAGUCGGAUGUGAAAUCCCUGAGCUUAACUUAGGAAUUGCAUUCGAUACUGGUCAGCUAGAGUAUGGGAGAGGAUGGUAGAAUUCCAGGUGUAGCGGUGAAAUGCGUAGAGAUCUGGAGGAAUACCGAUGGCGAAGGCAGCCAUCUGGCCUAAUACUGACGCUGAGGUACGAAAGCAUGGGGAGCAAACAGGAUUAGAUACCCUGGUAGUCCAUGCCGUAAACGAUGUCUACUAGC